This 887-nucleotide ribosomal RNA is filed under the name Streptomyces sp. Its description in RNAcentral is "bacterial SSU rRNA". It matches the Rfam family "Bacterial small subunit ribosomal RNA", at positions 56 to 965 of the family's 1533-position model. The record is from RNAcentral. Lineage: Bacteria; Bacillati; Actinomycetota; Actinomycetes; Kitasatosporales; Streptomycetaceae.
UGCAGUCGACGAUGACCACUUCGGUGGGGAUUAGUGGCGAACGGGUGAGUAACACGUGGGCAAUCUGCCCUUCACUCUGGGACAAGCCCUGGAAACGGGGUCUAAUACCGGAUAUGAGCCUGGGAGGCAUCUCCUGGGUUGUAAAGCUCCGGCGGUGAAGGAUGAGCCCGCGGCCUAUCAGCUUGUUGGUGAGGUAAUGGCUCACCAAGGCGACGACGGGUAGCCGGCCUGAGAGGGCGACCGGCCACACUGGGACUGAGACACGGCCCAGACUCCUACGGGAGGCAGCAGUGGGGAAUAUUGCACAAUGGGCGAAAGCCUGAUGCAGCGACGCCGCGUGAGGGAUGACGGCCUUCGGGUUGUAAACCUCUUUCAGCAGGGAAGAAGCGAAAGUGACGGUACCUGCAGAAGAAGCGCCGGCUAACUACGUGCCAGCAGCCGCGGUAAUACGUAGGGCGCAAGCGUUGUCCGGAAUUAUUGGGCGUAAAGAGCUCGUAGGCGGCUUGUCACGUCGAUUGUGAAAGCCCGAGGCUUAACCUCGGGUCUGCAGUCGAUACGGGCUAGCUAGAGUGUGGUAGGGGAGAUCGGAAUUCCUGGUGUAGCGGUGAAAUGCGCAGAUAUCAGGAGGAACACCGGUGGCGAAGGCGGAUCUCUGGGCCAUUACUGACGCUGAGGAGCGAAAGCGUGGGGAGCGAACAGGAUUAGAUACCCUGGUAGUCCACGCCGUAAACGGUGGGAACUAGGUGUUGGCGACAUUCCACGUCGUCGGUGCCGCAGCUAACGCAUUAAGUUCCCCGCCUGGGGAGUACGCCGCAAGGCUAAACUCAAAGGAAUUGACGGGGCCCGCACAAGCGGCGAGCAUGUGGCUUAAUUCGACGCAACGCGAA